This 747-nucleotide ribosomal RNA is filed under the name Gymnopus fusipes. RNAcentral describes it as "eukaryotic LSU rRNA". The stretch from base 254 to 407 matches the Rfam family "5.8S ribosomal RNA". The record is from RNAcentral. Lineage: Eukaryota; Fungi; Basidiomycota; Agaricomycetes; Agaricales; Omphalotaceae.
GUGAUAGCGACUGCGGACGAUCAUUAUUGAAACUUCUUUGGAGAUAAGUACUGUUGCUGGCCUUGUAAUUGAGGCAUGUGCACGUCUUAUUUCUAAUCCAUUCAUCCACCUGUGCACUUUUUGUAGGAGUUCUUUGAAGUUGGCUUUAAUGUUGACUUCGAAAAAAAAGGGCUUCUAUGUUCUUACAAACCCAUUGAAGUAUGUUUGGAAUGGAAUGGCUAUUGGGGACUUCAUUGACCCUUUAAACCUAUACAACUUUUAGCAAUGGAUCUCUUGGCUCUCCCAUCGAUGAAGAACGCAGCGAAAUGCGAUAAGUAAUGUGAAUUGCAGAAUUCAGUGAAUCAUCGAAUCUUUGAACGCACCUUGCGCCCUCUGGUAUUCCGGAGGGCAUGCCUGUUUGAGUGUCAUUAAAUUCUCAACUUCAAAAGGUUUUCAUUAACUUUCUGAAGCUUGGAUGUGGGGGCUUGCUGGCGUCUUUGGAUGUUCGGCUCUCCUUAAAGAUAUUAGUGGGGAAUGUCUUUUGUUGGGCGGUCCUUGGUGUGAUAGUUAUCUACGCUUUGGAAAGUCUAAUGGUUCCAUUGGGAUUAGUAGUAUUGCGAUUAAGUUUGCUUUACUUGGGUCUCAGAGGAGAAGAUAAAGUUCUGCUUUCUAGCUGUCUGUGUUACAUGGACAAUUUUAUUGACUAUUUGACCUCAAAUCAGGUAGGACUACCCGCUGAACUUAAGCAUAUCAUAACCGCGAGAGAAA